This 158-nucleotide ribosomal RNA is filed under the name uncultured bacterium. Its description in RNAcentral is "partial 16S ribosomal RNA". It matches the Rfam family "Bacterial small subunit ribosomal RNA", at positions 338 to 508 of the family's 1533-position model. The record is from RNAcentral.
CCUACGGGAGGCAGCAGUGGGGAAUAUUGCACAAUGGGCGAAAGCCUGAUGCAGCGACGCCGCGUGCGGGAUGACGGCCUUCGGGUUGUAAACCGCUUUUGACAGGGACGAAGCGUAAGUGACUGUACCUGUAGAAUAAGGACCGGCCAACUACGUGC